This 643-nucleotide ribosomal RNA is filed under the name uncultured Alphaproteobacteria bacterium. RNAcentral's name for it is "bacterial SSU rRNA". It matches the Rfam family "Bacterial small subunit ribosomal RNA", at positions 52 to 745 of the family's 1533-position model. Lineage: Bacteria; Pseudomonadati; Pseudomonadota; Alphaproteobacteria. The record is from RNAcentral.
CACAUGCAAGUCGAACGCCCCGCAAGGGGAGUGGCAGACGGGUGAGUAACGCGUGGGAACAUACCCUUUCCUGCGGAAUAGCUCCGGGAAACUGGAAUUAAUACCGCAUACGCCCUACGGGGGAAAGAUUAUCGGGGAAGGAUUGGCCCGCGUUGGAUUAGCUAGUUGGUGGGGUAAAGGCCUACCAAGGCGACGAUCCAUAGCUGGUCUGAGAGGAUGAUCAGCCACAUUGGGACUGAGACACGGCCCAAACUCCUACGGGAGGCAGCAGUGGGGAAUAUUGGACAAUGGGCGCAAGCCUGAUCCAGCCAUGCCGCGUGAGUGAUGAAGGCCUUAGGGUUGUAAAGCUCUUUCACCGGAGAAGAUAAUGACGGUAUCCGGAGAAGAAGCCCCGGCUAACUUCGUGCCAGCAGCCGCGGUAAUACGAAGGGGGCUAGCGUUGUUCGGAAUUACUGGGCGUAAAGCGCACGUAGGCGGAUAUUUAAGUCAGGGGUGAAAUCCCAGAGCUCAACUCUGGAACUGCCUUUGAUACUGGGUAUCUUGAGUAUGGAAGAGGUAAGUGGAAUUCCGAGUGUAGAGGUGAAAUUCGUAGAUAUUCGGAGGACACCAGUGGCGAAGGCGGCUUACUGGUCCAUUACUGACG